RNAcentral lists this ribosomal RNA (465 nucleotides) under Vreelandella stevensii. RNAcentral describes it as "partial 16S ribosomal RNA". It matches the Rfam family "Bacterial small subunit ribosomal RNA", at positions 338 to 795 of the family's 1533-position model. Lineage: Bacteria; Pseudomonadati; Pseudomonadota; Gammaproteobacteria; Oceanospirillales; Halomonadaceae. The record is from RNAcentral.
CCUACGGGAGGCUGCAGUGGGGAAUAUUGGACAAUGGGCGAAAGCCUGAUCCAGCCAUGCCGCGUGUGUGAAGAAGGCCUUCGGGUUGUAAAGCACUUUCAGUGGGGAAGAAAGCCUUGGGGCUAAUACCCUCGAGGAAGGACAUCACCCACAGAAUAAGCACCGGCUAACUCCGUGCCAGCAGCCGCGGUAAUACGGAGGGUGCGAGCGUUAAUCGGAAUUACUGGGCGUAAAGCGCGCGUAGGCGGUCUGAUAAGCCGGUUGUGAAAGCCCCGGGCUCAACCUGGGAACGGCAUCCGGAACUGUCAGGCUAGAGUGCAGGAGAGGGAGGUAGAAUUCCCGGUGUAGCGGUGAAAUGCGUAGAGAUCGGGAGGAAUACCAGUGGCGAAGGCGGCCUUCUGGACUGACACUGACGCUGAGGUGCGAAAGCGUGGGUAGCAAACAGGAUUAGAUACCCCAGUAGUC